UGUUCUCAUGUGGUCCAUCCACUGUUCUCCUGGAGGAGAAAGAGGACAGCCCAGGUGUGUGACCACAGGGACAUCACAUGACCAAGAUGUGCCCAUCAUCAUAGUCCAUGUACAGCCCUGCAUGGUGAAUGUUUUGCCCAGACUACAGAGUGAGUCUCCUGUGACCUCCGGAACAGUGAGACGAGGGUCUCAGUCUUGCUCAGGCUGGUCUCAAAC
Lemur catta (Ring-tailed lemur) is the source of this 216-nucleotide long non-coding RNA. RefSeq lists it as uncharacterized. Lineage: Eukaryota; Metazoa; Chordata; Mammalia; Primates; Lemuridae. The transcript is spliced from 3 exons. The record is from RefSeq and is a predicted model, not a curated record.